RNAcentral lists this ribosomal RNA (395 nucleotides) under uncultured bacterium. Its description in RNAcentral is "partial 16S ribosomal RNA". It matches the Rfam family "Bacterial small subunit ribosomal RNA", at positions 523 to 918 of the family's 1533-position model. The record is from RNAcentral.
AUACGUAGGGUGCAAGCGUUAAUCGGAAUUACUGGGCGUAAAGCGUGCGCAGGCGGUUUUGUAAGACAGUGGUGAAAUCCCCGGGCUCAACCUGGGAACUGCCAUUGUGACUGCAAGGCUGGAGUGCGGCAGAGGGGGAUGGAAUUCCGCGUGUAGCAGUGAAAUGCGUAGAUAUGCGGAGGAACACCGAUGGCGAAGGCAAUCCCCUGGGCCUGCACUGACGCUCAUGCACGAAAGCGUGGGGAGCAAACAGGAUUAGAUACCCUGGUAGUCCACGCCCUAAACGAUGUCGACUGGUUGUUGGGGAUUUAUUUUCUCAGUAACGAAGCUAACGCGUGAAGUUGACCGCCUGGGGAGUACGGCCGCAAGGUUAAAACUCAAAGGAAUUGACGGGG